This is a small nuclear RNA of Rana temporaria (common frog), 115 nucleotides long. The record is from RefSeq and is a predicted model, not a curated record. NCBI's taxonomy places the organism in Eukaryota, Metazoa, Chordata, Amphibia, Anura, Ranidae.
AUGUUGUAUGGAUGGAAGAAGGUUACUACUUCCAUGACAAAGAUGGAAGAGGUCCUCCUUGGCUUUCACUGCACAUACCGUAUACAGUUAAAGGGGUUGUAAAGGUUUGUUUUUU